UGGGGAAUCUUGCACAAUGGGGGCAACCCUGAUGCAGCGACGCCGCGUGAGCGAUGAAGCCCUUCGGGGCGUAAAGCUCUUUCGACCGGAACGAUAAUGACGGUACCGGGAGAAGAAGCUGCGGCUAACUACGUGCCAGCAGCCGCGGUAAUACGUAGGCAGCAAGCGUUGUUCGGAGUUACUGGGCGUAAAGAGUGCGUAGGCGGUUUUCUAAGUUCGGUGUGAAAUCUCCCGGCUUAACUGGGAGGGUGCGCCGAAGACUGGGAAGCUGGAGUGUGGGAAAGGCAGGCGGAAUUCCUGGUGUAGUGGUGAAAUGCGUAGAUAUCAGGAGGAACACCGGCGGUGUAGACAGCUUGCUAGACCAUAACUGACGCUGAGGCACGAAAGCGUGGGUAGCAAACA
RNAcentral lists this ribosomal RNA (402 nucleotides) under uncultured bacterium. RNAcentral describes it as "bacterial SSU rRNA". It matches the Rfam family "Bacterial small subunit ribosomal RNA", at positions 355 to 774 of the family's 1533-position model. The record is from RNAcentral.